GACGAACGCUGGCGGCGUGCUUAACACAUGCAAGUCGAACGGAAACGCCCUGCUCUUGUGGGGUGCUCGAGUGGCGCAGGUGUGAAUAACACGUGAGUAACCUGCCCUGUACUUUGGGAUAACUUCAGGACACUGGGGCUACUACCUGAUACGAGCUGCUGCUGCCGGGGGGGGGUUGGAAAGUUUCGGCUGGUGGGGGUGGACUCGUGGCUGAGUAGCUUGUUGGUGGGGUAGUUGCUUAGCCAGGCGUUGACCCGUAGCCGGUCUGAGAGGACGACCGGCGACCUUGGGACUGAGACGCGGCCCAGACGCCUACGGGAGGCAGCAGUGGGGAAUGGGGGACAGAGGGGGCGAACCUGAUCCAGCCAUGCCGCGUGCGGGAAGAAGGCCUUCGGGUUGUAAUCCGCUUUUGUUCGGGAAGAAAUCCUCUGGGCUAAUACCACGGGGGGAUGACGGUACCGGAAGAAUAAGCACCGGCUAACUACGUG
Molecule: ribosomal RNA, 488 nt
Filed under: uncultured bacterium
Lineage: Bacteria
Description: partial 16S ribosomal RNA
Rfam family: Bacterial small subunit ribosomal RNA
Source: RNAcentral